Molecule: non-coding RNA, 1169 nt
Organism: Chrysemys picta bellii (western painted turtle)
Lineage: Eukaryota; Metazoa; Chordata; Testudines; Emydidae
Source: RefSeq, a predicted model, not a curated record
UUGGACAGAUCUUUUCAGAGGGCCAGAGAAUAUCUUUCCUCCAGGCGGCGCUUCUGGCAAUACAUGACCCCCAGAUCCGUGUCAGCCAGGCUGGGCUGGUGCUAACGUACUCCAUCCUGGGGGAAGCCGGACAGCUGAUAGGGGAUGAGCAGGAGGAUGUUAGAGCAACAAUCAUGGCACACCUGUUCUACAUCCGGUGCUUGCGCCAGGUGCCCAAAGCACUGCAGGGGCUGUGCGCAGUGGGACACCUUUGAAGUCCCCUCUCCCCCAUCGGAUGACCAGAAGCUCCCACUCCCUGCCGCAGGAAGGGAGUCCCCCAAUGUGGGGGCUCUAGAGCUCCAGCUGGGCAAUGCCUAGGAGAACCUGUAAGUCAUCCUGGUUCCCGCCUGCAUGCACCAGCCUGCCCUGCCCUGCCCUGCCCUCCGGUUCCUCGCUAUUGACUCUGGCUUGACCCUUGGCUCCAGUCUCUGGUUAUGACUUCAGCGUGACCCUUCUUGGCUCCAGAUGUUGGAUACCCACCCUGGUUCUGUAUUCUCCUUGCCCUUCUCUAGUCCUGCUCCAGGCACCCCACCGACCCGCUCCAGCAUUGCCUUCUCCUCCCGAUCUUCCCCAAGCACUCGGACUUUGACUACCCGGCUUUGACCCUCGGCCUGUAUCUGGACUCUGGCUUGACAUUGACUUGGCUGAUCUUUGGUCUUUGACUACCUGGCCAUGACCUCUGGCCUGGACUUGGACACUAUCUCUGCCUCUGCUUUUUCGAUGGACUCUGAUCUCGGUUUUGACCCUGGUGUGUCCCUGGACCCUGAUUCUAGCACCACUCUUAGCCUAGGCACAAUCCUGCACCUCCCUGCGACCUACGCUCCAACCACUGGGCCUAAUUAUCAGACGCAGCACCUAACAUUAGGUGGUGCAACUUUUUGCAGAAAAGCAGGCUCUCCGCAAGUAAGUGGCCCAUAUGCAACAGGGACACCGCAGUAGUAUAAGGGCUCUACCGUACCGUCAAUCAAAGCCUAACCCUGCCCCUUGACCUCUUUAAUCCCGCCCACCUGUCACUGGAAGUCUCACCCAUGGGGGUAUUACUUCCGGGGUCAAGGUGCCACCUGACCGGAAGCAAGGUGGGUCAUGGGACCCCUCUAAGAACUCCUCCCACCACCCUCUACCAAUCAGGA